Molecule: ribosomal RNA, 649 nt
Filed under: bacterium S931
Lineage: Bacteria
Description: bacterial SSU rRNA
Rfam family: Bacterial small subunit ribosomal RNA
Source: RNAcentral
CCUAACACAUGCAAGUCGAACGGAUCCUUCGGGAUUAGUGGCAGACGGGUGAGUAACGCGUGGGAAGCUACCUUGUGGUAGGGAACAACAGUUGGAAACGACUGCUAAUACCCUAUGAGCCCUAUGGGGGAAAGAUUUAUCGCCAUGAGAUGUGCCCGCGUUAGAUUAGCUAGUUGGUAAGGUAAUGGCUUACCAAGGCGACGAUCUAUAGCUGGUCUGAGAGGAUGAUCAGCCACACUGGGACUGAGACACGGCCCAGACUCCUACGGGAGGCAGCAGUGGGGAAUAUUGGACAAUGGGGGCAACCCUGAUCCAGCCAUGCCGCGUGAGUGAUGACGGCCUUAGGGUUGUAAAGCUCUUUCAGCAGUGAAGAUAAUGACAUUAACUGCAGAAGAAGCCCCGGCUAACUUCGUGCCAGCAGCCGCGGUAAUACGAAGGGGGCUAGCGUUGUUCGGAAUCACUGGGCGUAAAGCGUACGUAGGCGGACUGAUCAGUCAGGGGUGAAAUCCCGGGGCUCAACCCCGGAACUGCCUUUGAUACUGUCAGUCUUGAGAUCGAGAGAGGUGAGUGGAACUCCGAGUGUAGAGGUGAAAUUCGUAGAUAUUCGGAAGAACACCAGUGGCGAAGGCGGCUCACUGGCUCGAUACUG